Molecule: ribosomal RNA, 207 nt
Filed under: uncultured bacterium
Lineage: Bacteria
Description: partial 16S ribosomal RNA
Rfam family: Bacterial small subunit ribosomal RNA
Source: RNAcentral
CGCGCAGGCGGCCAGGUCAGUCGAAUGUGAAAGCCCCCGGCUCAACUGGGGAAGGUCGUUCGAUACUGCCUGGCUUGAAGAUAGGAGAGGGAAGUGGAAUUUCAGGUGUAGUGGUGAAAUGCGUAGAUAUCUGAAGGAACACCAGUGGCGAAGGCGACUUUCUGGCCUAUUCUUGACGCUGAGGCGCGAAAGCUAGGGGAGCGAACG